RNAcentral lists this ribosomal RNA (254 nucleotides) under uncultured bacterium. RNAcentral's name for it is "partial 16S ribosomal RNA". It matches the Rfam family "Bacterial small subunit ribosomal RNA", at positions 524 to 776 of the family's 1533-position model. The record is from RNAcentral.
UACGUAGGGGGCGAGCGUUGUCCGGAUUUAUUGGGCGUAAAGAGCUCGUAGGCGGCUUGGCAAGUCGGGUGUGAAACCUCCAGGCUCAACCUGGAGACACCACUCGAUACUGCCAUGGCUAGAGUCCGGUAGGGGACCACGGAAUUCCUGGUGUAGCGGUGAAAUGCGCAGAUAUCAGGAGGAACACCGGUGGCGAAGGCGGUGGUCUGGGCCGGCACUGACGCUGAGGAGCGAAAGCGUGGGGAGCAAACAGG